UAAUGGUUUUGUUGCUGGAUACUCUUUAAUUCAAGGACUCCAUUGUGUUGUGAGUUUGGUUAGGGGAAGUGUUCUCUUCAACAAGCCCUUAGCUUGGGCCAUUUUCUCUGCUGAUCAGCUGUUCUUAUUGGAACUGAUUCACAAGUGAAGGUGUUUUUCUCCUUUGAGAAGGAAGCUAAAUUCACUGAUGUUAUGGCUUUGGUAUUCUUGGUAGUUGCUAAUGGUUUGGCUGCUGGAUACUCUUUGAUUUAAGGACUCCGUUGUGUUGUGAGUUUGGUUAGGGGAAGUGUUCUCUUCAACAAGCCCUUAGCUUGGGCCAUUUUCUCUGCUGAUCAGGUGUUAGUCCUGGAACAGCUCCAGUGUACUAUAGCACAAACCUGAAAUUGUUGGAUAAGAGGAUCAAGAUAGCUGAGUUGUUGUUAAGGUUUAUGAUUCUUGGUCUUGGAGUUGUUGAGCUGUUCUU
Non-coding RNA from Arachis ipaensis, 463 nucleotides. The record is from RefSeq and is a predicted model, not a curated record. Lineage: Eukaryota; Viridiplantae; Streptophyta; Magnoliopsida; Fabales; Fabaceae.